Spinacia oleracea (spinach) is the source of this 837-nucleotide long non-coding RNA. RefSeq lists it as uncharacterized. The record is from RefSeq and is a predicted model, not a curated record. The transcript has 3 exons. Lineage: Eukaryota; Viridiplantae; Streptophyta; Magnoliopsida; Caryophyllales; Amaranthaceae.
AUUUUAUAAAUCUUAUUAAUAUAUUUUAACGUAUAGUUAAUUAUAUUUAAAUAGAAUUAACGAAUUUUAGAAAUAAAAAUGUAAUUAACGUAAUUUAUUUUUAUACGUUCUAAAUAUUUCAACGAUUUAUGAAAUCAAAAGUAAUUUUAGAAUUUUACAUUGAAAAGAAAUCGAAUUACGAAAACCGAUUGAAUUUAGAAAACGAUCCUAAUUGAUUUUGGAUUGAAAUCCUAAAACUAAAUCCUAAUUCUAAGCCCACUUGGCAAAGCCCAAACAAAUAAUCCCACCACUCUCUUUACUUGCUCCAACUUCACGUAAAAACAAAAACAAGAAAUCAAACCUUUCUCUCUUCCCCUUUUACUUCACGUGAACCAGAAAAAUAAAACAAAAUUUCAAACCCUGCUUCAACUUCACGUGGACUCUCAUUGCACCGCCGCACAAACCACCGCCGUCAACCACGACGCUGCUCCUCCUCAAUCCGACGGUCGCCACCACCGAGCCGCUGCCACCAUCGACCCGCACAACCAACGCACACCACCAGCCGCGUCGUUGCACUAGCCGCCGCAGUCUCCCGGUCAGGUUGUCCCUCCUUUCUCCUCCUCUCUUCUGUGCUUCUUGCUCAAUCACGCAACCACCGAGUGCGACCUCCACAGUCACCACCUCCAACGGCGUCUCCCGUUCGACCACCAAACGCAACCACCUUCACUCUGCGCCCAGCCGCCGCUGCCGCGCCUCCCUUGCCGCCGGCCAGCAUCCCCUUGAAGCUUUAAUUGGCGGAGCAUUCUUUGUAGGCGACUUUUGAAAGUGUUAAAGUGGCCUACUAGUUGUUUAUACAAG